RNAcentral lists this ribosomal RNA (642 nucleotides) under Bacillus cereus. Its description in RNAcentral is "bacterial SSU rRNA". It matches the Rfam family "Bacterial small subunit ribosomal RNA", at positions 79 to 704 of the family's 1533-position model. Lineage: Bacteria; Bacillati; Bacillota; Bacilli; Caryophanales; Bacillaceae. The record is from RNAcentral.
UUGCUCCCGGAUGUUAGCGGCGGACGGGUGUAGUAACACGUGGGUAACCUGCCUGUAAGACUGGGAUAACUCCGGGAAACCGGAGCUAAUACCGGAUAGUUCCUUGAACCGCAUGGUUCAAGGAUGAAAGACGGUUUCGGCUGUCACUUACAGAUGGACCCGCGGCGCAUUAGCUAGUUGGUGAGGUAACGGCUCACCAAGGCGACGAUGCGUAGCCGACCUGAGAGGGUGAUCGGCCACACUGGGACUGAGACACGGCCCAGACUCCUACGGGAGGCAGCAGUAGGGAAUCUUCCGCAAUGGACGAAAGUCUGACGGAGCAACGCCGCGUGAGUGAUGAAGGUUUUCGGAUCGUAAAGCUCUGUUGUUAGGGAAGAACAAGUGCAAGAGUAACUGCUUGCACCUUGACGGUACCUAACCAGAAAGCCACGGCUAACUACGUGCCAGCAGCCGCGGUAAUACGUAGGUGGCAAGCGUUGUCCGGAAUUAUUGGGCGUAAAGGGCUCGCAGGCGGUUUCUUAAGUCUGAUGUGAAAGCCCCCGGCUCAACCGGGGAGGGGUCAUUGGAAACUGGGAAACUUGAGUGCAGAAGAGGGAGAGUGCAACUCCACGUGUAGCGGUGAAAUGCGUAGAGAUGUGGAGG